RNAcentral lists this unclassified non-coding RNA (520 nucleotides) under uncultured Glomus. RNAcentral's name for it is "SSU rRNA". It matches the Rfam family "Eukaryotic small subunit ribosomal RNA", at positions 569 to 1089 of the family's 1831-position model. Lineage: Eukaryota; Fungi; Glomeromycota; Glomeromycetes; Glomerales; Glomeraceae. The record is from RNAcentral.
AGCAGCCGCGGUAAUUCCAGCUCCAAUAGCGUAUAUUAAAGUUGUUGCAGUUAAAAAGCUCGUAGUUGAAUUUCGGGGUUAGUAGGUUGGUCAUGCCUCUGGUAUGUACUGGUCUCACUGAUUCCUCCUUCCUGAUGAACCUUAAUGCCAUUAAUUUGGUGUUGCGGGGAAUUUGGACUGUUACUUUGAAAAAAUUAGAGUGUUUAAAGCAAGCUAACGCUUGAAUACAUUAGCAUGGAAUAAUGAAAUAGGACGUUUGAUUCUAUUUUGUUGGUUUCUAGGAUCGACGUAAUGAUUAAUAGGGAUAGUUGGGGGCAUUAGUAUUCAAUUGUCAGAGGUGAAAUUCUUGGAUUUAUUGAAGACUAACUACUGCGAAAGCAUUUGCCAAGGAUGUUUUCAUUAAUCAAGAACGAAAGUUAGGGGAUCGAAGACGAUCAGAUACCGUCGUAGUCUUAACCAUAAACUAUGCCGACUAGGGAUCGGACGAUGUUAAUUUUUUUAAUGACCCGUUCGGCGCCUU